CCUACGGGAGGCAGCAGUGGGGAAUAUUGCGCAAUGGGCGAAAGCCUGACGCAGCGACGCCGCGUGAGGGAUGAAGGUCUUCGGAUCGUAAACCUCUGUCAGCAGGGAAGAACGGUCACUGUGCUAAUCAGCAGUGAAUUGACGGUACCUGCAAAGGAAGCACCGGCUAACUCCGUGCCAGCAGCCGCGGUAAUACGGAGGGUGCGAGCGGUAAUCGGAAUUACUGGGCGUAAAGCGCUCGUAGGCGGUAUGUCAAGUCAAGGGUGAAUUCCCCGCGCGCAAAGUGGGAACUGCCUUUGAAACUGGCAAAGUGGAGUGUGUGAGAGGAUAGGGGAAUUCCAGGUGUAGGA
This 350-nucleotide ribosomal RNA is filed under the name uncultured bacterium. RNAcentral's name for it is "partial 16S ribosomal RNA". It matches the Rfam family "Bacterial small subunit ribosomal RNA", at positions 338 to 680 of the family's 1533-position model. The record is from RNAcentral.